Molecule: unclassified non-coding RNA, 207 nt
Filed under: fungal sp.
Lineage: Eukaryota; Fungi
Description: partial internal transcribed spacer region
Rfam family: Eukaryotic small subunit ribosomal RNA (bases 1-46)
Source: RNAcentral
AAGUCGUAACAAGGUUUCCGUAGGUGAACCUGCGGAAGGAUCAUUACCACAUCCAAAAUCUUUUAACAACCCACAAGUGUGAAGCUAUGAUGAGGAACCUUUUCUUCUUCAUUUUGAACCCCUUUUGAACUCGAUAGUGAAUAAGCAAGACUAACAAAAAAAUGAGAAAAGAGAAAACAACUUUUAACGGUGGAUCUCUUGGCUCGU